AAUUAUUUUUGUUCGGAUUAAAGAUUGAUAGAAGGAAAGUACAUGUUACAUGGUUUCCUCUUGAGACGUUAUCCUAGAUCAAGAAUAGUAAUAUAAGGAUUUUUUUCCAAACAGGAGGAAAUACACAUGGUACAAGGUAAAGUAAAAUGGUUUAAUGCAGAAAAAGGUUUCGGUUUCAUCGAAGUAGAAGGACAAGACGACGUAUUCGUACACUUCUCUGCUAUUCAAGGCGAAGGCUUCAAAACUCUUGAAGAAGGCCAAGAAGUUUCUUUCGAAAUCGAGCAAGGCGCUCGCGGACCACAAGCUGCUAACGUUCAAAAAUAAUUGAACUUUAAAAGACUCCCAUUUAUCUGGGAGUCUUUUUU
Molecule: small RNA, 365 nt
Filed under: Bacillus sp. MUM 13
Lineage: Bacteria; Bacillati; Bacillota; Bacilli; Caryophanales; Bacillaceae
Description: cspA thermoregulator
Rfam family: cspA thermoregulator
Source: Rfam by way of RNAcentral